GGGUGCGACCAUACCAGCACUAACGCAUCGGAUCCAAUUAGAACAUUGAAGUUAAGCAUGCUUGGGCUAGAGUAUUACUAGGAUGGGUGACGCCCUGGGAAGUCCUCGUGUUGCACCCC
This 119-nucleotide ribosomal RNA is filed under the name Olea europaea subsp. europaea. The record is from RNAcentral. Lineage: Eukaryota; Viridiplantae; Streptophyta; Magnoliopsida; Lamiales; Oleaceae.